GACGAGCUGAGAGAAGUCAGUCUGGCCGCGCGCGCCUACGAUCACUGUCGACCGCCGGUCUCGCCUCGUUCUCUACCCGCACCGGCGGGACGGUCGUCCACAAUUCAGUGUUUUUGUGUCUUAUUUGCCUAACUAGUAAAUUCAAUCACUUAUUCUGUGUCCCUUAUUCUCUACUUAUUUUCCUAUCGCAAUUCUGCUUGGUUCCGUGUCACGAAUAAUGCGACCAAACUUGUGAGAAAUAAUAGAAAACUUCUUUACACACUCUAUAUUUUUGUUUAUUGAUAAAUUGUAAAAUCAUUCCAUUUGAUAAAUCGAACUUUAUUUUGCACACAUCCCGAUGCGUUUAUUAUAUUAUAUAGCGAUUACGAGCCGCAUUCUUGCACGCUCUCUCACGUGGACCGCGCGGUGGCCGCGAAUUUAAAUUACGAGGAUUCUAGUUCGUUGCCGCGCACACGGAAUGCCUUAAUUUCUACGUUGGUCCCGUUAUCGCAACCACUCUGGUCCAUCGUGGGUCACUCUUUUCGUUCUAGGAAUGAAAUUCCCCGUGACCUUUCCUUGCGCCGCCUGAAGCUUCGCCGGGCUUUGCCAAAAGUUUAAUUAAACAAGAAUACAACGAAAGAGGCGAAAUCCUCUUUGCGCGAUCGACUUCGACUUAAUGGAACCUCGCAUAACUUGGUAUAAAGCCUCGCAUCUCGCACGAAGGUACAAGCAGUUAUUAGUGGAAUCUUUUUUCACCGGGUAUAAAUUUACUGGCUCCGAAGAUAAAGCGUUGGACCUUUGACAGAGUAAUAGAUUGCCUCGGGAUUGAAAUGAAGAAAUAGCUGGUAGAGACUGCGUGGGAGACAAUAUGCCCCGAGAAUGUAAAUAGAUACUGAUGGUAGCGAAGUUCCGACCGAUGAGUCGUUGCUCCUUUUGCGAUAAAUGGUCUUCGGGGCUACGUGAAGCUAAAAUGUUCGCAGACGAGUAAAAUAUGGGAUGAAAAAUUUUCCGUGUACAUAGGAACACACUCAGCUCUGAUGAGAAGAGAUUGCAAUUUCUCGGAGUUGAAGAAGUUUUGGAAAUACGACCGGCACUCGACACUCGAUUUUUUAGGACAAAGUCCAUGAACUUUUCUUUAGACAGUCUACGAAAAUAAACGAGCAUGUUAGAUGUGACGCAGAAAUAGAACGUAUCAGGGAUCGCAAGUCCCAUUUGCAUACAAUCGCAGCAAUGCCUUUGCUCUAGAUUUGGAGAACGGAUUGAUGACUAAAAAGAUCGCUCUGUCUCCAACAAGGACAAUUGGACAGUGGAUAACGAGAUGCGAAGUAAAAGUACAAGCAUCUGAUCAAGUUCCAGAUUGUAUUUUGUAUUCGAUUUAAAAAUACACGGAGUGAAUCAAUAAUAAUAAUGAGACAAUUAAUUCCUAUCUGAUCUCAU
Molecule: long non-coding RNA, 1416 nt
Organism: Ceratina calcarata
Lineage: Eukaryota; Metazoa; Arthropoda; Insecta; Hymenoptera; Apidae
Exons: 3
Source: RefSeq, a predicted model, not a curated record